UACGGAGGGUGCAAGCGUUGUUCGGCAUUACUGGGCGUAAAGCGGGUGUGGGCGGCCUCGCAAGUCAGGUGUGAAAUCCCUGCGCCCAACCCAGGAACUGCACUUGAUACUGCUUGGCUCGAGUCCCGGAGAGGAUGGCGGAAUUCCAGGUGUAGAGGAGAAAUUCGUAGAUAUCUGGGGGAACACCAGCGGCGAAGGCGGCCAUCUGGACGGUGACUGACGAUCAGACCCGAAAGCGUGGGGAGCAAACAGG
RNAcentral lists this ribosomal RNA (253 nucleotides) under uncultured bacterium. RNAcentral's name for it is "partial 16S ribosomal RNA". It matches the Rfam family "Bacterial small subunit ribosomal RNA", at positions 524 to 776 of the family's 1533-position model. The record is from RNAcentral.